UGUUCCUCAGCAAUCUCAACAAAAGGAUGGUUUUAGAAAUAUCUUGCUGAAGAUCUCAGCUAUUACUGCCUUUCCUCAUGGGAAUUGAGGCUUGCAGACCGGAAAGCGGAGCGUCACAGCUCAUAUUCAAAGCAGCGAGUAGCAAGUCAAGAUCACUUAGAAGAUAGAUCUCACUUGGAAGGAACCAUGCUACGGAGUCUGUGUUCUUAUUCUGCACUCUGGCCCUGCUCCUUCAUCCUGGUAUAAAAAUCUGACAACACAGGAUGAAAAAUUACUCCAGAGCCUGUCAGUGGAUGAGCAAAUGAAAUCCAUCAUGAAUUUAAAUGGAGACAUGUAUUAUAACCUCCUGCCUUUCAUUGCACCAUGGAUCUUUUUCCUGUGUAAUGUUUAUGGGGGUUUUGUUGAGAUGCAAGGACAAGGACAAAUUCAAGGAGUUCCUGUCUUCUUUGUCACGAGCUCCUAUUACAAUUCAUUUACUUGGUGGGGAAGAGGUAGGAUAAGGUCUCUGUUGAGGAAACAUACACCAUGGGGGUGCAAUUUGUAACUCCCUC
Long non-coding RNA from Neopsephotus bourkii (Bourke's parrot), 551 nucleotides. RefSeq lists it as uncharacterized. Lineage: Eukaryota; Metazoa; Chordata; Aves; Psittaciformes; Psittacidae. The record is from RefSeq and is a predicted model, not a curated record. The transcript is spliced from 3 exons.